Molecule: long non-coding RNA, 774 nt
Filed under: Vigna radiata
Lineage: Eukaryota; Viridiplantae; Streptophyta; Magnoliopsida; Fabales; Fabaceae
Description: long non-coding RNA (VRAD_LNC013992)
Source: RNAcentral
CUGUAGUAUGCAAAAUAUAAGCUAAUGCUGUAAUGCAAACAAUCUUAUCAGCAUAAUUAGGAUAAAAUAAUUCAUUUUGCCAACAAAAAUUCAAAACUAAGGCCUGAAUUGAAAACUAAAGUAUAGACGUAAAAUAACUAUCAAAUCAAAAACUCCUUCCCAUAAUCAAGUUGAAAUACAAAUCCAUAUAUAUCAAAUGAGAUCAAAACGACUGAAAUACUGUUUCACAGGGUUUCGAACAACAUAGAAGCCUAAAAACUCCUACAAUUCAGUGAUCCAGAAAAAUUGCUACCUUCGACAGCUUAGGCAGUGGUAGCCGCUCCUCUCUUCCUGGGUGCAGCUUCGGUACCUGAUUCAAAAUCACAACGUUAGCAAAAACCCUAAAACAACACCCAAAAUUAAACACUCAAAUAAUGAACCGCUUAUACCCUCUCUGAAGCCGCUCUUGAAUCUGCGAGGCACGUGACGCAGGUACCUCAUUCUUCCAGUUCCAGUGGUCUUUCUCCUAAUGGCCUUGACGCUCCAGUUAUCUGAAACCACCGACCAAUCAAGACCAAAUCUUAAACACAAACCCUAAAUUUAAAAAGUAAAAGAGUUACAUUUUCUAGUGCGUGCUGCUGGGAAAGCACACGCAGCACAGCGACUCUUCUGGAGGUGGAAGCUGCGACGGCCGCAUCUGACACAGAGGGUGUGGGUCUUGUUCCUCCUCUUACCGAAACUCCCUGUUCCCUUCCCCUGCACUCAUGCAAAAUCAAAACACCGUCAGAAUCAGAU